This 425-nucleotide unclassified non-coding RNA is filed under the name soil metagenome. Its description in RNAcentral is "partial contains 5.8S ribosomal RNA, internal transcribed spacer 2, and large subunit ribosomal RNA". The stretch from base 1 to 120 matches the Rfam family "5.8S ribosomal RNA", at positions 35 to 154 of the family's 154-position model. The record is from RNAcentral.
GAUGAAGAACGUAGCGAAAUGCGAUAAGUAGUGUGAAUUGCAGAAUUCCGUGAAUCAUCGAAUCUUUGAACGCACAUUGCGCCUUCUGGUAUUCCGGAAGGCAUGCCUGUUCGAGAGUCAUUAACAACCGUUUCGAUCCCUUUCUUUCAGAAAUUACAAAGAGGAAAAGGGUUUGGUUAUGGUGGAGGAGGGAAAGGGAGCGUUUAGCCUGUAAAAAAAGAGGCUGUGUUCCGCCUCCCCCCCAAAAUUGUACAGGCGGUCGUGUGCGCCCACGCAUCGAGGUGUUGUAAAAGCUGCCACGACACUUUUCACCUGUGCAGUGCGAGAUUGGCCAGCCGGUUUAAAAACCCCUCCAAACAAUCAAAGGUUGACCUCGGAUCAGGUAGGGAUACCCGCUGAACUUAAGCAUAUCAAUAAGCGGAGGA